This is a non-coding RNA of Hysterangium stoloniferum, 75 nucleotides long. Lineage: Eukaryota; Fungi; Basidiomycota; Agaricomycetes; Hysterangiales; Hysterangiaceae. The record is from the annotation of a GenBank genome assembly.
GGUCUAGUAGCUCAGUGGCUGAGAGCACCAGCAUAUAUUAGCCAGGAGCCCUUGAUUCAAUCCCAAGCUGGGUCA